GGAGGGGGUUAUUCGUUACACAUGCAGUCGAGCGGUAGAGAGAAGCUUGCUUCUCUUGAGAGCGGCGGACGGGUGAGUAAUGCCUAGGAAUCUGCCUGGUAGUGGGGGAUAACGUUCGGAAACGGACGCUAAUACCGCAUACGUCCUACGGGAGAAAGCAGGGGACCUUCGGGCCUUGCGCUAUCAGAUGAGCCUAGGUCGGAUUAGCUAGUUGGUGGGGUAAUGGCUCACCAAGGCGACGAUCCGUAACUGGUCUGAGAGGAUGAUCAGUCACACUGGAACUGAGACACGGUCCAGACUCCUACGGGAGGCAGCAGUGGGGAAUAUUGGACAAUGGGCGAAAGCCUGAUCCAGCCAUGCCGCGUGUGUGAAGAAGGUCUUCGGAUUGUAAAGCACUUUAAGUUGGGAGGAAGGCCAUUAACCUAAUACGUUAGUGUUUUUGACGUUACCGACAGAAUAAGCACCGGCUAACUCUGUGCAGAAGACCCCGGGUAAA
This 496-nucleotide ribosomal RNA is filed under the name Pseudomonas salomonii. RNAcentral describes it as "bacterial SSU rRNA". It matches the Rfam family "Bacterial small subunit ribosomal RNA", at positions 38 to 524 of the family's 1533-position model. The record is from RNAcentral. Lineage: Bacteria; Pseudomonadati; Pseudomonadota; Gammaproteobacteria; Pseudomonadales; Pseudomonadaceae.